CUGGACAUGGGCUGGAAGCAGAAGGGGAUAAAUACAAUAACUUGAUAUAAAGUUAUUGAAAUUAAAUGUUGAUGUAGUGGAUAAGGUUUUAAACGUUUUUUUUCUUCUCUUUUUUUAGGGUAAAUAUCAUGAAAAUUCCUGAACUAUACUCACUUUAUCAAAAAUACUCUGAAACUUUCGAAAUGUUCUCUAAACCCUCAAACUAUCAUAUUUUUAUCAAAUAUAUC
RNAcentral lists this long non-coding RNA (227 nucleotides) under Salvia miltiorrhiza (redroot sage). RNAcentral describes it as "long non-coding RNA (SMIL_LNC013586)". The record is from RNAcentral. Lineage: Eukaryota; Viridiplantae; Streptophyta; Magnoliopsida; Lamiales; Lamiaceae.